RNAcentral lists this ribosomal RNA (509 nucleotides) under uncultured Bacillota bacterium. RNAcentral describes it as "bacterial SSU rRNA". It matches the Rfam family "Bacterial small subunit ribosomal RNA", at positions 28 to 504 of the family's 1533-position model. The record is from RNAcentral. Lineage: Bacteria; Bacillati; Bacillota.
GAUGAACGCUGGCGGCGUGCCUAAUACAUGCAAGUCGAGCGGAGUUUCCGUGACGGAAGCCUUCGGGCGGAAGGCGCGGAGACUUAGCGGCGGACGGGUGAGUAACACGUGGGCAACCUGCCCGGAAGACCGGGAUAACAUCCGGAAACGGAUGCUAAUACCGGAUAGGCGGACUCCUCGCAUGAGGGGAUCGGGAAAGGCGGGGCAACCUGCCGCUUCCGGAUGGGCCUGCGGCGCAUUAGCUAGUAGGUAGGGUAACGGCCUACCUAGGCGACGAUGCGUAGCCGACCUGAGAGGGUGAACGGCCACACUGGGACUGAGACACGGCCCAGACUCCUACGGGAGGCAGCAGUAGGGAAUCUUCCGCAAUGGGCGAAAGCCUGACGGAGCAACGCCGCGUGAGUGAGGAAGGUCUUCGGAUCGUAAAGCUCUGUUGCCAGGGAAGAAGUCUUGGGAGAGUAACUGCUCUCAAGGUGACGGUACCUGAGAAGAAAGCCCCGGCUAACUAC